This 440-nucleotide ribosomal RNA is filed under the name uncultured bacterium. RNAcentral describes it as "bacterial SSU rRNA". It matches the Rfam family "Bacterial small subunit ribosomal RNA", at positions 338 to 795 of the family's 1533-position model. The record is from RNAcentral.
CCUACGGGUGGCUGCAGUGAGGAAUCUUCCACAAUGGACGAAAGUCUGAUGGAGCGACACCGCGUGAAGGAUGAAGGCCUAACGGUUGUAAACUUCUUUUCCGAAGGAGCAUAAUGAGAGUACUUCAGGAAUAAGGGACGGCUAAAUACGUGCCAGCAGCCGCGGUAAUACGUAUGUCUCGAGCGUUACCCGGAAUCACUGGGUGUAAAGGGUUCGUAGGCGGAUCAGUAAGUCAGAUAUGAAAGACCGGAGCUCAACUCCGUGUUUGUGUUUGAAACUGCUAAUCUAGAAUUAGGGAGAGGUAAGCGGAAUUCUAAGUGUAGGGGUGCAAUCCGUAGAUACUUAGAGGAACACCAAAAGCGAAGGCAGCUUACUGGAACUAUAUUGACGCUGAGGAACGAAAGCGUGGGGAGCGAAAAGGAUUAGAUACCCUGGUAGUC